GGCCAUGUUGGUUAACAGAUCCUCAUCUGCUGGACGUCUGGCGAUGAUCUUUAUCGGUUGUCGUCAGUUGCCAGCACGUUUACUUUGAGAAAAUUAGAGUGCUAAAAGCAGGCUCACGCCUAUAUAUAUUGCAUGGAAUAAUGAAAUAAGAUCUCGAUUUUAUUUCGUUGGUUUUAGAAAUUGAGAUAAUGAUUAAUAGGAUCAGAGGGGGGCGUACGUACUGUGGUGUGAGAGGUGAAAUUCUUGGAUCGCCACAGGACGAACAGCAGCGAAGGCGUUCGCCAAGAAUGUUUUCAUUAAUCAAGAACGAAAGUUUGAGGUUCGAAGACGAUUAGAUGCCGUCCUAGUUCAAACCAUAAACGUUGCCAACUGUCUUUUAGAUGCGGUUAUUUAUAUGACUCAUCUGGCGGAUCUCGAGAAAUCUAAGUUUUUAGGUUCCGGGGGAAGUAUGGUUGCAAAGCUGAAACUUAAAAGAAUUGACGGAAGGACACACAAGAAGUGGAGCCUGUGGCCUAAUUUGACUCAACACGGGAAACCUUACUCGGCCAGGACACUUUUAGGAUUGACAGAUUGAGAGCUCUUUCUUGAUUAGGUGGGUGGUGGUGCAUGGUCGUUCGUAGUUCGUGGAGCGAUUUGUCUGAUUAAUUUCGAUAACGAACGAGACUCCGGCUUACUAAAUAGUCUAAAGUUCGAAGGGACUUUUCAAGACUUCUUAGCAGGAUAAGUGG
This 728-nucleotide ribosomal RNA is filed under the name uncultured eukaryote. Its description in RNAcentral is "SSU rRNA". It matches the Rfam family "Eukaryotic small subunit ribosomal RNA", at positions 674 to 1426 of the family's 1831-position model. The record is from RNAcentral.